This 463-nucleotide ribosomal RNA is filed under the name uncultured bacterium. RNAcentral's name for it is "partial 16S ribosomal RNA". It matches the Rfam family "Bacterial small subunit ribosomal RNA", at positions 330 to 792 of the family's 1533-position model. The record is from RNAcentral.
GCCAGACUCCUACGGGAGGCAGCAGUGGGGAAUAUUGCACAAUGGGGGAAACCCUGAUGCAGCGACGCCGCGUGAGUGAAGAAGUAUUUCGGUAUGUAAAGCUCUAUCAGCAGGGAAGAAAAACCGACCAUAGGGUCGCUAGACGGUACCUGAUUAAGAAGCCCCGGCUAACUACGUGCCAGCAGCCGCGGUAAUACGUAGGUGGCAAGCGUUGUCCGGAUUUACUGGGUGUAAAGGGCGUGUAGCCGGGUUGACAAGUCAGAUGUGAAAUCCUGCGGCUUAACCGCAGAACUGCAUUUGAAACUGUUGAUCUUGAGUACGGGAGAGGCAGGCGGAAUUCCUAGUGUAGCGGUGAAAUGCGUAAAUAUUAGGAGGAACACCAGUGGCGAAGGCGGCCUGCUGGGCUUUAACUGACGCUGAGGCUCGAAAGCGUGGGUAGCACACAGGAUUAGAUCCCCGGGUA